This 807-nucleotide long non-coding RNA is filed under the name Vitis vinifera (wine grape). RNAcentral's name for it is "long non-coding RNA (VVIN_LNC002701)". Lineage: Eukaryota; Viridiplantae; Streptophyta; Magnoliopsida; Vitales; Vitaceae. The record is from RNAcentral.
CCUCUCUCUUCUUUCCUACCCAACAUCACUCACCAUCUCUGUCAUCCUAAACCUCCCAAUCAUUGCCCUAACAGUCAUGGUUGUGCUGCUCGGUCGCCUUAGAAAAUUAUACGACAACAACCUUCCCUACCCCACAUCUACACCAAAGUCAAGUUGAACCCUUCUCGGGUUUAUUCACCUUCUUCCCUACCCAACAUCACUCACCAUCUCUGUCAUCCUAAACCUCCCAAUUGUUGCCCUAACAGUCAUGGUUGUGCUGCUCGGUCGCCUUAGAAAAUUAUACGACAACAACCUUCCCCACCCCACAUCUGCACCAAAGUCAAGUUGAACCCUUCUCGGGUUUAUUCACCUUCUUCCCUACCCAACAUCAUUCACCAUCUCUGUCAUCCUAAACCUCCUAAUUGUUGCCCUAACAGUCAUGGUUGUGCUGCUCGGUCGCCUUAGAAAAUUAUACGACAACAACCUUCCCCACCCCGCAUCUACACCAAAGUCAAGUUGAACCCUUCUCGGGUUUAUUCACCUUCUUCCCUACCCAACAUCACUCACCAUCUCUGUCAUCCUAAACCUCCCAAUUGUUGCCCUAACAGUCAUGGUUGUGCUGCUCGGUCGCCUUAGAAAAUUAUACGACAACAACCUUCCCCACCCCCACAUCUACACCAAAGUCAAGUUGAACCAUUCUCGGGUUUAUUCACCUUCUUCCCUACCCAACAUCACUCACCAUCUCUGUCAUCCUAAACCUCCCCAAUCGUUGCCCUAACAGUCAUGGUUGUGCUGCUCAGUCGCCUUAGAAAAUUAUACGACAACAAC